CAUAGUCCCCAUAAGGGAGGGUGAGAGCCCUCGACCGGGUUCGACAAAACGGCAGCGCCGUUUUGCAUGGCCGACAGGCCACCCGCAGGGCGAGGCGCAACGCGCCGGGUGUAUCCCUCCCUCACCGCAA
This 130-nucleotide small RNA is filed under the name Affinibrenneria salicis. RNAcentral describes it as "Brenneria sp. L3-3HA RtT sRNA". It matches the Rfam family "RtT RNA". From Rfam's summary of the family: This family represents a bacterial cis-regulatory element known as RtT RNA. The exact function of RtT is unknown although it is thought that it may be involved in changing the cellular response in relation to amino acid starvation. Lineage: Bacteria; Pseudomonadati; Pseudomonadota; Gammaproteobacteria; Enterobacterales; Pectobacteriaceae. The record is from RNAcentral.